RNAcentral lists this long non-coding RNA (4490 nucleotides) under Homo sapiens (human). RNAcentral's name for it is "long non-coding RNA NONHSAT094830". The record is from RNAcentral. Lineage: Eukaryota; Metazoa; Chordata; Mammalia; Primates; Hominidae.
AGUGGCGGGGUUCUCGCCGGUCCUGCGGGUCGCUGCUUGGCUGUGGGUUAGCAGCACCCUGAGCGGAGCGGAAGAGCUGCCCGCCGCCGCGUAACCCCGAGGCCGAGACUCCUGGCCUGGCCUCCUUGGGCCCACGACGCCUGCCCCGCGGAGCGGACCCAUGGGCCUGAGGUUUGUGUGCGGGGCCUCAGGCGAGCGCUGGCGCAGCCUGUCCCCCAUCGUCUGCGCCCUGCGGGCCUGGCCCUCCCCGUGGAAGGACCGCGGGCUUCGGGGCCCCACGCUGGGGGGCUGACUCCUGCCACACACACAGCGGUGGCCGCGGGCCUGGGGCGGCAGCACAGCCAUUCUGCUCGGGCUGCGUGAGCUGACCCCGCUCUCUGUGCACCUACUUUUGCUGCGUUUGGUGCUGAGCCUGAAGUCCCAGGACAGGCGGCUGAGGGGGAAAGAUGGUGUGAAUUGGGUGGGCAGAGACAACUGAAAGCCACAGGACCCGGUUGGCACCUUUUUGGCCGCCUGCGCCUUUGCCUGCAGCCCCGCUCCCUGGGUCACCCGAAGGAGGAGCUGGCGCUCUUUCCGGGCGCAGAAGCACCCGACCCACGCUGGAGGAAACGGUCCCUCUGGGCAGGAGAAGCUUUGGGCCUGGCUGGAGCACACUCACGGAACCACGCCAACGCCUGGCCUGUAGCCAGCUCCCACCUCCCCUCCCACCUUCUAAAAUGCUUGCGGAUCUCACGUGGCCGACCCUAACCAGAUACACAUGGGGAAAGGAAUCAGGUGGCACACAUACCGCCUUUACUCCAUAGAGAACUUCCAAUUGUGGGUAAGAACAAAGCCCCACCUCUUCCUAAUAGAUGCAGUUUUCCACCUGCAGCCAAAAAGACAACCUGUUAUUAGCUUUUUUCCCAGAGGACAGGCAUCUCUAUGAAACUGCCAUUGCAAAAUUUGCCGACAGUGAGAUAACCAGCUCCAUUUUGCUUCUAACCUCCAUGCCCUCCUUGUUUACUGCUGCACGCAGGUUGAACUGUGGGAGGAACUUAGUUUAAAACAAAGAUGAUAACAGCCCUUUCCCAAAGGAAACCUUUCCUGGGGAUUAGCCUGCUUUUGUGGGACCAACAGAUUAGCCACAAGAUUAGAAACUACGGUUGAAGAGUCACGCAGCGGGAGGCUACAGGAUUCUGACCCUCCCCAAACUGCUCCUGGCGAUAACAUCACCAUCGUAAAGCCUAAGAUCAGCACUUGGUGGGUCACCUGGCACCACCCAGGCUCAUCUGAUGUUGUGGCACCCAGGAACUGACUCAGUGCGAAAACAGCUUCGACUCCCUGUGAUUUCAUCUCUGACCUGACCAAUGGGUACUUCUGACUCACUGGCUGCCCCCCACCCACCAGCUUAUCUUUAAAAACUCCAAACCCCAGAUGCUCAGGGAGACCGAGUAAUAAUAAAACUCCAGUCUCCCACACAGCUAGCUCUGCGUGAAUUACCUUUUCUCUGUUGCAAAUGCCCUUUCUUGAUAAAUUGGCUGUCUAGGUAACAGGGAAGGUGAACCCACUGGGCAGUUACACUUUUAUCCACCCUUCCAGCUGGAUCACGCGCCCUCUUCAAUGACAUGACACGCAGCUAGAGUGUAUGAGCUUGCUGCCGGCACCUUCCGUCCUGGAUCGCAUAGCAAGGCCUCAAUGGACAGCCAGGUGCCUGGUCCGGUCCCACUUUUUUUUCUGUCCUGUUCUCGUUUCCUCUUUGCUUGGCCAAAGAGGGUUGGGCCAGGGUCCUGAGUGCAAAGGCUUGGCUUGGUGAAUUAAAGUGGCAGUAGCCGUGUGGCAGAGAAAAUUUGUAGAUGGGUGAAAUCCUGGGCCUACACAGUGACAAAGUGUAUAUAGACAGCCAGCCUAGUUGGUGGAUGUGACAACCCCAGACUCUUCUAGAUUUGUGGAUCCGUGCACCUGCCAGACCUGUCUCUGAGCCAUCUGGGGAGGCUGGGUAAGAUUUCCCCCGUCAGGGCCUGAGCCUCAUCUCCAAGCUGCUGGCUUCAGCCCAGCUGCCACCAGCGCUGUCUCUGUCUUGCGCUUUCCAGAGAGAGACUGACUCAUUUUGAGCUCCAGGCCUACCAGGCAGCCCAACCGCGGCAGUAACUGCCUCUCACACUGAGGAUGGCUCAUGCUCUGGUCCAGCCAUGGCUUGAACACCUCCCAACAAGAACAAAGCCAGACUCAUUCUCCCUAGCAUCUUCUUCCUUGCUCAAAGAUCCCACACCCCGUUAGAAGCUGGAACUGGGUCCUUGUCACCUUCCUCACCUCCCCAGUCGUAGUCUGGUUAAUCCUUACAUCUCACCACGGUCACCGUGGCUAGAUGUGACCUCCGCGAUGCUUCAGGCACGUACCAGGGCAGCCUGGGCAGGGCUGGUCACUGUGAUCUCAUGAGGUGUGAACUUGACCCCGGCCUUCUUUCCUGGGAUGCCGGCUAAGGACACAAGUUCAGUGUUUGCCCUGGCUUGUAGCCCAGCGGGGGCUCCGUCAUCCCCUGGGGAAUGCCUCGGCCUGCAAGACCGCAUACCGCAUUGGAACAGGGAAACCACCUACUUCAGCACCUCCCUCAGCAAGGUGGCAGGUCCCAACAAGCCUUGCACCACGAGGAAGUGGCAGUGGCAUUCGGGAUAUGGCUCCCUGGCCAGCUUGUGAAGUUCAAGGGGCUCGUUACUUCUUACAGCUCACAGUCCCUCCCGGGUCCAGCACACCUGAGGGCUGACCUCCCUCUUGAUUAGUGCAGGGGAAAAGCACUUUAAAAAGCUGUGUCAUGCGUAACUUGCACAUCUUCUGAUUCUGACCUGAAACUGCAUCCCAGGUCGGCACAGACGCAACCCAGUCUCCUCCCACCUCCGAGAGUGCAGUGUCCUGAAUGGAGAACCCCAGCACCCAGAAGCAUCCACUGAAGGACGUAAGUAGGACAAGGCCAACUGUGGCUGUUCCAGCAGAGGGACUGUGGGUGAUGUUUCCCUUCUCUGAUUUCUAAAAUAUCUGCAAACUUGUUUCAUUUAUAAUUGAAAAUAUAAUUUGCAUAACAACAGUAAAUUCUACACAUGAAGGCAAACGUCCGUGGUUGACAGAAAUUACACUGGCCAGAAUCCCCAGUCCCCAUGAGGCUUGUCCAGACGCAGUGAACCAGUCGCAGCUGAUAACACACAGACCAUUCCCGAUCCCAGAGGUGCAUUUCAGGAUUCAUUCUAUUUCAUCAGAGACGGGGUCUUCCUGUGUUGCCCAGGCUGGUCUCGAACUCCUGGGCUGAAGCAAUCUUCCUGCCUUGGCCUCCCAGAGGGUUGGAAUUGCAGAUGUGAGGUACUUCUUUGAUAGUGCCUCCAUGCAUGCAGAAGAUGACGUGGAGAGCUCCGCGCGGCACAGGGCAGGAAGCUGGUGUGCACUCUCAUGGAUCCGAAGCCAACACACGCCUCUCAACUGAGGACUCUGCCCCUCUGGCAUUCUUCCAGCCACCAGCCCUGGGGGCCAGGAGCCACUGAGUGGGUCACACAGCCUUAGAGGGCAACGAGGGCAGGAGCUCGCCCUGGCGGUCCCCAUGCAGACAAGAGGGUCACUGGCUUCCUUGCUUUGCUCUUCCUGGACAUCUUCCUCGACAUUCAUCUUUCCAUCCUACCAAGAGCGUGGAAACCACAGGGCAUGAGGACAGGCGGAGACAACGCUGGACCAUCUCACAGCCACAUCAAGAGGCUGCCCACAUCAGGGCUUUCUACGUGGUUGCAAGGAACACAAACCUGUGUGCUCCAUUUGCCCACUGGCACUAGGCCUCCUGCCCACCACCCGCUUCUAGGCUAUUCGAGCCGCAGGAGCUACAGGCUGCUAGAGAACCCUGCGGCAGGAUGCUGGGCGCGGUUCAGCUUUUGCCAGGGAGCAGCAUGGGACUGGGAUUUGGAAGGUGUACAGUGGCUGCGGGCUUUAGCAGGAGGAGUGUCUACAGCACCUUCUGCUCCUCCAGGUAACCUAGUGUUUUUAUCAGUAUCCAUUUUCCUGUGUGGAUCUCUUCUGCUUGAAACCUGUCCUGCCUAUUUUUCUUCCCUGGACCCUGACUGAUACACUCUUAAAACGAGAAAAGGGUACCGAUUUAUAAAGUUCGUGAAUUAAAAACUACACCAGUCAUGGAAACUCAAUGACAUCACUCAAAGAAAAUUCACAACUCUAGCCUUGAGUUAGCUCCCUCAAUAGUAUGAUGAGGUCAUGCAGAUAGAAUCAUACAGUUAUUAACAAAAGUAGUUGAUGUUAACCGAGUAAUCAGUUUUAUCUGUGUUCCUUUGAGACAGAGAGAGAGAGUGAGAAAGAGAGCGUGAGCAAGUGAGUGCACAUACUAUUGUUAAAGUCUUCUCUCUAAAGUUUUAAUAUCUGAUAUACCAUAAACACCCAGAUAAAGAACUUUAGAGAAACUGGUUAAAAAGAUUUAAAAUUCCCAACUGUAAUAAAUCCCUAAAAUGAAUACCAAAAAAAUGUUUUUA